AUGCUCCUACGAGUGAUACAUAAAGUCGUCAAGAGGCUGUCGGCCUGGCUAGCUACUUUUCUUUCAUGGGGAGGCAGGCUUAUGUUAAUCAACUCGGUGCUUGCCGGCAUUCUGAGCUACUUCAUGACUUGCUUCCCAUGGCCAAAGGAGUCCAUCAAUAACCUGGAAGGACUCCUGUGUGCCUUCUUCUGGCAAGGAAAGAGCACAACCUCGGGCGGACACUGUCUUGUGGCUUGGGACAGAGUUAUCCAUCCACGAUGCGCGGCUGGUUUGGGAGUCAGGGAUCUAUCAGCACACAACCAAGCCAUGAUGUGUAAGCUUGUGGCCAAAGUUCUUCAGUUUUCAGACAUACCCUGCUAUCAAUGGCUGGCUUCGCAAUACUGUAGAAAUAACUUACCCAGUGGCAACAAUACGAGAGACAUAGCUUUCUGGAGAGGGCUCAAAACUUAUAUUCCGCUGGUCUUGUUUUCCUCUUGCUGCUCGCUUGGCUCUGGGGCUCUUGUUUCCUUUUGGCAAGAUCAGUGGCUCGAGGUUGGAAGGCUGAUGUUUGUGCUGCCAGUCUUAUACUCAUUUGCCAAGGAUAAGCUAUGUUCAGUCCAGUCGCAAAUAUCCCAGGAUGGUUGGGAUAUACAGCUGCACCCAAAUCUCUAG
RNAcentral lists this ribosomal RNA (651 nucleotides) under Triticum aestivum (bread wheat). Its description in RNAcentral is "partial small subunit ribosomal RNA". The record is from RNAcentral. Lineage: Eukaryota; Viridiplantae; Streptophyta; Magnoliopsida; Poales; Poaceae.